UACGUAGGGGGCUAGCGUUGUCCGGAAUCAUUGGGCGUAAAGCGCGUGUAGGCGGCCCGAUAAGUCCGCUGUGAAAGUCCAGGGCUCAACCCUGGGAUGCCGGUGGAUACUGUCGGACUAGAGUCCGGAAGAGGCAAGUGGAAUUCCCGGUGUAGCGGUGAAAUGCGCAGAUAUCUGGAGGAACACCGGUGGCGAAGGCGGCAUCCUGGACCACGACUGACGCUGAGGAGCGAAAGCCAGGGGAGCAAACGGG
RNAcentral lists this ribosomal RNA (253 nucleotides) under uncultured bacterium. RNAcentral's name for it is "partial 16S ribosomal RNA". It matches the Rfam family "Bacterial small subunit ribosomal RNA", at positions 524 to 776 of the family's 1533-position model. The record is from RNAcentral.